UACGGAGGGCGCAAGCGUUGUCCGGAAUCACUGGGCGUAAAGGGGGCGCAGGCGGCUUGCUAAGUCCUGUGUGAAAUCCCACGGCUCAACCGUGGAAAGCUACAGGAUACUGGCGAGCUCGAGACGGGUAGAGGCGAGUGGAAUUCCCGGUGUAGCGGUGGAAUGCGUAGAUAUCGGGAAGAACACCAGUGGCGAAGGCGACUCGCUGGGCCCGUUCUGACGCUCAGGCCCGAAAGCGUGGGGAGCAAACAGGAUUAGAUACCCUGGUAGUCCACGCCGUAAACGAUGGGCACUAGGUGCUGGAGAGUGUGACCUCCUCGGUGCCGUAGCUAACGCGUUAAGUGCCCCGCCUGGGGAGUACGGCCGCAAGGCUGAAACUCAAAGGAAUUGACGGGGGCCCGCACAAGCGGUGGAGCAUGUGGUUUAAUUCGAUGCAACGCGAAGAACCUUACCUGGGCUUGACAUGCUAGGGAACUCGGGUGGAAACAUCCGGGGUCCUUCGGGACCCUAGCACAGGUGCUGCAUGGCUGUCGUCAGCCCGUGUCGUGAGAUGUUGGGUUAAGUCCCGCAACGAGCGCAACCCUUGCCCGUAGUUGCCAGCGGAUAAUGCCGGGGACUCUACGGGGACUGCCGGUGAUAAACCGGAGGAAGGUGAGGGCGACGUCAAGUCAUCAUGGCCCUUACGCUCAGGGCGACACACGUGCUACAAUGGUCGGUACAGUGGGCUGCAAUCCCGCGAGGGUGAGCCAAUCCCAAAAAGCCGGCCUAAGUUCGGAUCGGAGUCUGCAACUCGACUCCGUGAAGCCGGAAUCGCUAGUAAUCGCGGAUCAGCCAUGCCGCGGUGAAUACGUUCCCGGGCUU
Molecule: ribosomal RNA, 861 nt
Filed under: uncultured bacterium
Lineage: Bacteria
Description: SSU rRNA
Rfam family: Bacterial small subunit ribosomal RNA
Source: RNAcentral